Molecule: RNA transcript, 5049 nt
Organism: Acinonyx jubatus (cheetah)
Lineage: Eukaryota; Metazoa; Chordata; Mammalia; Carnivora; Felidae
Gene: CA3H20orf173
Gene name: chromosome A3 C20orf173 homolog
Exons: 9
Source: RefSeq, a predicted model, not a curated record
CAGAAACAGUAGCAGCAUGAGAAGGCCACUGACAAUGGUCACUGCGGGGAAGGGAGCGAGGGUCAGAAUGGCCUCUGCUCCACUCUCUCUAAGCCCCCCCAUAGGCCAGGCAGGGUCCAGGCGCCCGGCCAAGCUCUUCGACACCCCUGUCCCCGCAACCCCGGCCCCGCUGCGGCCUACCCGUGGCGCCCCCGCAGGUCUUGACCCGGAAGUCCUCCAGAGUCUUGGGGUAGGCAUCGAACUGCUUGAGCUUCCCUAGCGCCUCCAUGGGGACCAGCCGGAAAGGGGACGCCAGCCGGCCCGCCCCUGCAGCCUCCUGCUUCCGGCCCGGAGCUUGAGCCACGCCCCCCUCUCUUUUCGCACGCAGGCGCAGCAACGCGCACGCUUGGCCCCACCCCUCGCCGGUGUUCUCACUCAGGUCCCACCCUCCCCUCCUGCGGUCGGGUGCUGAGAGCUGCCGAGUUUAAACGCAGUUGUCGGGGGUGAGAGCCACUCCCACCCUGUGGGCGGUCUUCCGUGGACCAGGUACCUGGAGGCGUGGUUGCCCCGCAGAAACAGUGGCCAAGGAGACCAAGACACUGACUAGUUAGAGACUUCACUCUUCAUAAUGUCAGGCUUUAUACUGAUGCUUCAACCUUCUCCGUCAAGUGGGAUCCUUCAACCUUUGGAGCAAGUGGGGCCUAUACUGGACUCAUUCACUGCACAUGGGGCUGCACUGGUCCCCUGCAGCUACAGCCUACAAACCCAGCCAGAGAAGAGGAAGUUUUCAGGCCCUUUCGUUAGUUCCUUCUGCCCUGUCACAGUCUUCUUUUACCUUAUAUCCAUACUGAUAAACUUUCCCUAAUUGUUAAAGAAAUAAAUAUAUUUGCAGAUGUUACAUGUUCUUCUUUCCCAGUGCAGAUGGACCAAUUAUCUCUUGGGAGAAAUACGGGGACCUUGGUGUAUCUGGAUUGAAAAUAAUAAUCACAGUGUAGAAAUCCCACUACUUACCCUGAGAAGGAAGAAUCAUAAUAUAGCUGUGUCAGUGGGUCUCAGAGUCCAAUUAGUAGAGGUUCUUACAGACUUUAAUAAUACUGAGGUCAGGGAAUGAACCCUAAGAUGAAUGCCAUUUAAAAUGAGACUUGGAAGAAACCAGACAGGUGAAGUACUGAGUGGGAGGGAGCAAUGUGUUCCAGGAAGAGGAAUUGCAAGUGCAAAGGUCCUGGGGUGAGAUAGAACUUGGAAAGUUCUAGAAACAAGAAAAAGCCAGAAUGGCUGAAAACUCUGAGAUGAGUGAGAAUUUUGGAUUUUAUUCUGUAUGGAUUUUAUUCUGAUACCAUUUUAAGGAUUUAAGCAGGAAACUAAUUUAAGAUCAUGUCAGUUGCUAGCUGAAGAAUGGGUGAGGGAUGGAUAGAACAGAAGCAGAUAUACCAGUUAGGAUGCUAUUGCAGGUUGUAGGAGGAAAACACAAGCUUUUCUUUAGAAAACAAAAAUAUAAUUAGAAAAUUAUCUUCCAUUUUAAUAAAGGAAUUGGGUUUUUUUUCCCUGUAAAAUACUUUUCUGGCUAGAUCGAUCUAUUAAGCUAAGACAGUGGUUCUUAAAGUGUGGUCCCUGGACCAGCAGCAUUGUCAUUACCUGAGAAUUUGUUAGAAAUGCAAAUUCUCAGGCACACCCCAGAAAAACCAAAUGAGAGACUGUGGGGAUGAGGCUCAGCAUUCUGUGUUUUUAUGAAGCUCUCCAGGUGAUUCUGAUGCAUACUCUUGUUUGAGAAGCACUGGGCUAAGAGUCCCAAGCAAAUAUUUUUUAUUUGCAUUCUGGUGCAACCCACAUAAGGAAGGCUCUUCUUUCAAUAUUUGUAAAACAUUAUUUAUAUAAUUACAUAAGUCACAAAACAAUAACCAGUGUGAAAGCUAAUUAUAAAGGUUCUAGUUCAGAGCACCUUGUUGGCACAGUUGGUUAAGUGUCCAACUCUUGAUUUCAGCUCAGGUCAUGAUCUCACGGUUCAUGAGAUCUGCACUGACAGAGCAAAACCUGCUUGGGAUCCUCCCUCUCCCUCUUUUACUGUCCCUCCCCCUCCCGUGUUCUCUGUCUCUCUAAAAAUAAAUCAAUAAACAUUUUUCAAAAAAUGCAAAAAGAAAGGUUAUAGUUUCAGUAAUAUGUAGACUUAAUCCUGGAAACCUUCCUGGUGAAAAACAUCUUGAAAUGCUAAAUAACAAUGAUCUCUUUGAACAUAUAGCUGACUCAUGAAAAAGUAAGGGAAAUUCCCAGGGGCUAAAAUUGAAAGAGUUAAAGAAAGCAGGGUCACCUGGAAAGCAGUUCCCUCUCAACUCCGUUCAUGUAUCCCAUAAAUAUUUUUUAAAUGAUUUUAAGUCCCCAUUCUCAUAGAUCUUAUGUUUAGUGUAGGUCGCUGGUGUAUUCCAGACAGGAUAGAGUGGCAGCUUUGCCCAGGUAGGCAACAAGAGGGAGGUCACAAUGUGUACGUUGUGAUGACAUCUAUGGAGUAACUGGUGGCAUGGAGAACCCCACUGAGAGUUAAGCCUUCCUCCUGUGGGGAGGAUACGGGACCCGCCAUAAGUUAUCUCUCUGUCCCUGCAUCUGCCAUCCUAGGGCCAGCCAGAGUCCUCUUUGGAGGACAUGAACUCAGCAAGUGGUUUUGGCAAAAUGUGGAAAAAGGUGUUCAAGGGGAUUCCCAGACUCUCAGUGAGCCAUUUCCAUUUCUACUGUGGGACUUGUACUUUGGUGGGGAACUCCAAGAUCCUGCGGGCCUCCGGCCUUGGCAACAAUAUCAACCAGUGGACCCUAGCCUUCGGAAUGAACCAGGGCCCUGUCCAGAGCAUUGAAAAGGUGGGGAACCAAACCAUAGGAUGCUUCAUCUAUCCUGGGAAUGCCAGCAGCCAGGGCUCUUGGAGACAGCUGCUGCUUCUGCUGCUGCUGCUGCUGAAGCUUUCUGGUCUGGUGUGGACUUCAGAUGCUCCAAGUGAGGAGGAUGCCUACUUUGGAUUUGGAUCAGAAAAGCAAAGAAAGGGGUGCAAUGACUGUUAAUCAGACCAAUGAUUACAAGGGGAUUUUGUCCAUACAGAGCAUGGAAGCAGAAAUGAAAGUCAGCUACAGUGUGUUGGGCAAGCUCACUGUCCACAUGUGACACCCUGCAGAGUUCAUGCAAGUCCUAGUCCUUUGGACCUCAACAAAGCAGCAGUUUGUUUCUGUUUCUGAGACCAAGAAUUCCAACUAACACAGAUAACAAGGAUCAAACAUCACACUUCUGCCAACAGCACUGGAGUCUGGAAGAUGAUGGAAUAUGCCAUCAGGCUCUGGAGCUACUUUUGCAACCUAGGAUCUUUUACACCCAGCCAAACUAUCAAUCAAGCCUAAGGACAUUGUGGUCUCCAUGGCUCCCAUAACAAAUUAGCACAAAAUAGGAUGAACCAGGCCCCUGUCCAAGGCUUUGAGAUGGAUGUGGGGAACAAAACCACCAUGUGCAUUAUGUACCCUGAGAUGGCUAGCACACAGGAUCCUGGCACCCCACUGCUGCUGCUUCCUCUGAAUUCAUCUGGUCUAAAGUGGUUUAUGGAAGUGCUGCGGGAACAGAGCUUCAGAAGCCCAGUAAACCCUGGGUUUUGGUGAUCAGCCUCAACUUUCUCCAGUAUGUCCAUCAUUGUUGGCUGGGGAAACACAGUUGGUUUCCAUCCUUGGGGUUCGUGGGUUUGUUGUAUGCCCUGCACACAUGUGACCAGGCACUGAUGCUAGGAGACCUAACCCCAUUCCAGCUGGCCAAGGAGGAACUUUUCAGCUGAUCCCCACAGCAAAGCCCUGAGACCCACCCAUGCCAGUCCUGUGCUAUGCAACGUGGAACUCGGGGAAUCUGAAGUCUUCACAAUAUGGAGUAUCCACUGAGGAGCACCACCUGUGCUCAGUGGGGGCAAGAGGGUGAGGGUGGUGAGCAGUGCCAGCCUGUGAGCCCCAAAGCCUUCCUGACUUCCUUUCCUAUCUCUGCAGAAUGAACCAGGCCCCAGUUUUAGGUCCAGAGAACAACAAAGGCAACAAACAGAAUCUACCUGCACAUAAUGCACCUGAGAAUGCCCAUGACCUGGAGAGAAUAUCCACACACUGCUGGUGUUGUCGCAGCCACCAGAUAUAGGGUGGACUGUAGUGGUCUUGAGCCAAGGUGGAAAAGGGCAUCUUUUGCCAGGUGGUGUGAGGGUGGAGGCCCCAGGCCUGGAGCAGACAGCCCUGGCUUUUUGGUGUAAAUGUUGAUCUUGUCGUCACUCUGCAGUGUGUGACUGUAUACUCCCCACCUCCCUAACCUACAACCAGUAUUUCCUUCUCUACUUCAUGCUUUUCUGCCUUCACGCUUCUACUAGUCCCGUGUAGGGAAGCAUAUGAGUCAAGGUAAUUAAAUUGUGCUCUGGUGAUCGUUGCCGUAACAUGCAAACUAUGGAGGCUCACUGAGAGAAUGGGGUGCCGCACCCGGCAGACCCAGGCACUCCCUAGGAACAUUGCCCAGACUCUGACUCAGCUCUUGUCCUCUUCGACUCUCAAGACUUUCUGUUCUGUACCAGCCUCUAGCAAAGGAGAGGCUGGAACAGAGGAGAAAAGUUUUGUGAAAGGAGGCCUUUGACCUCAGCUCUGACCUUUCCCCCCAGAUUCUGGUGACCAACUUCAUCAUCCUCAAGUGCAUCCACGAGGCCGUGCUGGUCAGAGACAUUUCCCAACCACCAGAUUCGCUGUGGCAUGUGGGGUGGAGAAGGAAAGGAAGGUCUGGCCUGAUGCCUUUAGGCAAGGUUGGGUCCUGCCUAGAAGAUCCACACUCUUCUCUAAGCUAGAGAACCAGAGGUGAAGGACCAAAAAGUAAGGAACCAAGUGAAGUCCUGUUUGUCCUUGAGAACUCCUAGCACAGGAAAGGCCAGGUGAGGAUUCUGAGCCACAGGGAAUCUGAGUAGAGGCAGGGUCCAGGCCAGCAUCUCUGGGGCUCCAGAUACAAUUCUGGGGAGCUCUAAGCUGUAACUUUUUACUAUCUGUUGCUGAGUCCCAUGCCAUGAAUUUUUAGAACAAAACUUCAGCAGUGGUGAA